Molecule: ribosomal RNA, 435 nt
Filed under: uncultured bacterium
Lineage: Bacteria
Description: partial 16S ribosomal RNA
Rfam family: Bacterial small subunit ribosomal RNA
Source: RNAcentral
AGCGAACGCUGGCGGCAGGCUUAGCACAUGCAAGUCGAGCGGGCAUCUUCGGAUGUCAGCGGCAGACGGGUGAGUAACACGUGGGAACGUACCCUUCGGUUCGGAACAACUCUGGGAAACUGGAGCUAGUACCGGAUACGCCCUUAUGGGGAAAGGUUUACUGCCGAAGGAUCGGCCCGCGUCUGAUUAGCUAGUUGGUGGGGUAACGGCCUACCAAGGCGACGAUCAGUAGCUGGUCUGAGAGGAUGAUCAGCCACACUGGGACUGAGACACGGCCCAGACUCCUACGGGAAGCAGCAGUGGGGAAUAUUGGACAAUGGGCGCAAGCCUGAUCCAGCCAUGCCGCGUGAGUGAUGAAGGCCUUAGGGUUGUAAAGCUCUUUUGUCCGGGACGAUAAUGACGGUACCGGAAGAAUAAGCCCCGGCUAACUUCGUG